CACGUAGGGUGCGAGCGUUGUCCGGAAUUAUUGGGCGUAAAGAGCUCGUAGGCGGUGUGUCGCGUCGGCCGUGAAAACCUGCAGCUUAACUGUGGGCGUGCGGUCGAUACGGGCAUCACUGGAGUUCGGCAGGGGAGACUGGAAUUCCUGGUGUAGCGGUGAAAUGCGCAGAUAUCAGGAGGAACACCGGUGGCGAAGGCGGGUCUCUGGGCCGAUACUGACCCUGGAGGAGCGAAAGCCGUGGGGAGCAAACAGG
This 256-nucleotide ribosomal RNA is filed under the name uncultured bacterium. Its description in RNAcentral is "partial 16S ribosomal RNA". It matches the Rfam family "Bacterial small subunit ribosomal RNA", at positions 524 to 776 of the family's 1533-position model. The record is from RNAcentral.